CCCUUAACUAUUAAAAGUUUCGUUUUGGUCCCUUAACUUAUUUUUUUGUUUCAUUUUGGUCCCUUAACUCUUUCUCCGUAAACCACUUUGGUCCUUUAUGUUAGGAUGAAUGUAUUACAGUUAAGGACCAAAACGAAAUCAAAAAAUAAGUUAAGUGACCAAAACGAAAACAAAAAAUAAGUUAAAGGACCAAAACAAAACUUUUAAUAGUUAAGGGACCAAAACAAAACCAAAAAAUAAGUUAAGGGAUCAAAACGAAACUUUUAAUAGUUAAGGGA
RNAcentral lists this microRNA precursor (278 nucleotides) under Medicago truncatula (barrel medic). RNAcentral describes it as "MIR2655 microRNA precursor family". It matches the Rfam family "MIR2655 microRNA precursor family". Lineage: Eukaryota; Viridiplantae; Streptophyta; Magnoliopsida; Fabales; Fabaceae. The record is from Rfam by way of RNAcentral.